This is a long non-coding RNA of Amyelois transitella, 1860 nucleotides long. RefSeq lists it as uncharacterized. The record is from RefSeq and is a predicted model, not a curated record. NCBI's taxonomy places the organism in Eukaryota, Metazoa, Arthropoda, Insecta, Lepidoptera, Pyralidae. The transcript has 3 exons.
GCCUCGGCCGCGUUCGGCACCGGCCGAACGCGAUGAAAAUCGCGUGUUACGUUCGUGAUAGAAGACCGCAGCGCUCGUAAAAUGCAAUUAUUGUACCUAGGACUCAAUAAUUAAGUUGUGUGAUGGCCGAGAUCAAUGAUUUCUCAGACACGUGAUGUCUGACAGAAACACUUGAUUAAUGAGACAUGUGAUGUUUGACUGAGACACGUGGUUUCGGAAGCCUCGGAAGAGAGUUUUUAAGGUAUAGCCCUCAUUUAAAUUGUUGCAUAUAAUAGGUAAAAUAUAUGAAUGUAGAUGAAGCAAAAAAAGCAAAGCAUAAGCACGGCUCAUGGCACGUGAUUCAUGUAUGUAGAGAAUUUUUUUAAGAAUCUGAAUAAAUGAAGAUAAAGGAUAUAAACAAUUUUAAUAUUACACUUAAACUAAUAAAAACAUAAUUUAUCACAUAUUGUUCAGAUUGAAUUCUAUCAGUUCUAAUAGAAGCGGCAUCUUGUAAUAUUCUGCGAUAGUUUUGAAAGUGUCGAGUUGAGUGCGGAUGUCCUUGACAGGCACCAUCAGGGCAAAGUCUCCGGCGCAGUCGCAUACUGUUGACAGGUUCUCGCGUUUUACCUGUUUAUUAUAAUGAAUAUCAUUGGUAAUGGGAAUGUAAAUAAUGGGAUGCCGAAGGUGUUUCAUAAAAAAUAAAAGUCUGAACAAUACAAAUGUAAAAAGUUAUAAUGUCCUUUAGAUGAACCUGCACAUUUAGUCAUUGUGCCACAACUAUGAUCCAAUAUGGAUAAGGUUCCUUUAAUGGAUGCAGAGUUCCGAAAUAGUGUAAAAACGUGACCUAAACACUCAGAUUUCAGGAGCGGCGGAUUCAGAAAGAUGACAACCCGACCGUGAUUACUCCCGGGGGAAUUUCGGGAAAUCUAUGUUAAGCCCUUUGGCAACAAUUUCAAAUCGCUAGCUAGAUAUCACUCGGGAAGGGAUUUUGAUGUAUUCAUGUUGUAGCCUUUAAAUGUUUUGUGUUUGAUAUAAAAUAGUACGCAUAAAGAUCGAUAAAUGAUGAUUUCUGAUGCGUACCUGAUGGCACCUGCUGCAGAUGAGGUCCUGUAGCGUGUAGGUCAUCGCGCGCCGGUUCAUGAUCUCAAUCAGUCUCCAUUCUAACUCCUGAUUGUCGUAUGGUGUGUCGCAUGUUGGACAGACACACACUGGCCUAAAGAGGACAAACAUAUGAGUAACAUAAAUCAUUCAAAUAAUAAUCUACCUACAUAUUACAUAUAUGUAAACGUCCAACAUACAUUAUAGGUACUAUAUUCAUACUAAAAAUCAACAAAGAAUUUUCAGUGGUUUGGCAUUUUCACUGACACUUUCGCAUUUAUCAGGAUGUCAUUGACUCCUAAUGACUAAAAAUUAUGGUUAACACAACACAGUUUUCUUACGUUACCAAGAAUGUAUUUUUUUUUUAUAAAAUUAAGAAGCUUUCUUUAGAAAAAUUGGGCAAAAGUGAAUGCACGACUCUUUAAGAGCGUUCGAAGUUGCACAGAUUUUAGGUCAACUUACACGCCGCGCAGUUCCCGGUGCGGGUCGCGACACAGGUCGAGGUCGCGGCAGUGGUUGCACACCUUGCAGAUGAGCUCGCUGAGGACGCAGCUGGUGCACGGGGACCGCCAUUCCGCGAGGCUGCUGAACUCGCCCACGCCGAUUAGACGGAGCAAGUUCCGGCGGAGCAGCGUCACCUGGGGGCGCGAACAGCUUGCAGACGGCGUUGACGAGCAGCAGCGCGGGGGUGGAGCCCUGGCUCACGGCGUCGGCGCGGAGCCCGGGCGCCGCGGGGAUGUCGCCGGGCUUCAGCUCCGGGUGACGGCUGUUUAUUUUCUCUAC